GGAUAGCUCAGGUGGUUAGAGUGAGCAAGGGGAUAGUGCUCAUAACGCUGAGGUUGCAGGUUCGAUCCCUAUAUGGUACA
Podarcis lilfordi (Lilford's wall lizard) is the source of this 80-nucleotide non-coding RNA. Lineage: Eukaryota; Metazoa; Chordata; Lepidosauria; Squamata; Lacertidae. The record is from the annotation of a GenBank genome assembly.